Molecule: ribosomal RNA, 498 nt
Filed under: uncultured bacterium
Lineage: Bacteria
Description: partial 16S ribosomal RNA
Rfam family: Bacterial small subunit ribosomal RNA
Source: RNAcentral
AUUGAACGCUGGCGGCAUGCUUUACACAUGCAAGUCGAACGGUAACAGGCCGCAAGGUGCUGACGAGUGGCGAACGGGUGAGUAAUGCAUCGGAACGUGCCCAGUCGUGGGGGAUAACGCAGCGAAAGCUGUGCUAAUACCGCAUACGAUCUAUGGAUGAAAGCGGGGGACCGUAAGGCCUCGCGCGAUUGGAGCGGCCGAUGUCAGAUUAGGUAGUUGGUGGGGUAAAGGCUCACCAAGCCAACGAUCUGUAGCUGGUCCGAGAGGACGACCAGCCACACUAGGACUGAGAAACGGCCCACACUCCGACGGUAGGCAGCAGUGGGGAAUUUUGGACAAUGGGCGCAAGCCUGAUCCAGCAAUGCCGCGUGCAGGAAGAAGGCCUUCGGGUUGUAAACUGCUUUUGUACGGAACGAAAAGGUUUGGGUUAAUACCCUGGGCCGAUGACGGUACCGUAAGAAUAAGCACCGGCUAACUACGUGCCAGCAGCCGCCGUAA